This 610-nucleotide ribosomal RNA is filed under the name uncultured bacterium. RNAcentral's name for it is "bacterial SSU rRNA". It matches the Rfam family "Bacterial small subunit ribosomal RNA", at positions 9 to 611 of the family's 1533-position model. The record is from RNAcentral.
GAGUUUGAUCCUGACUCAGAAUGAACGCUGGCGGCGUGCCUAACACAUGCAAGUCGGAUGUGCCGCAAGGUGCAUGGCAGACGGGUGAGUAACGCGUCGGGAACCUACCUCUUUGUGGGGAAUAACGCUCCGAAAGGAGUGGUAAUACCGCAUGAGACCGUGAGCUGGGAUGUUCAUGGUGAAACCUGGGGACCGGUAACGGCCUGGGGCAAGGAGAGGGUCCUGCGUCUGAUUAGCUAGUUGGCGGGGUAAUGGCCCACCAAGGCGACGAUCAGUAGCCGGCCUGAGAGGGUGAUCGGCCACACUGGAACUGAGACACGGUCCAGACUCCUACGGGAGGCAGCAGUGGGGAAUUUUGCGCAAUGGGCGAAAGCCUGACGCAGCAACGCCGCGUGGGUGAUGAAGGUCUUCGGACUGUAAAACCCUGUCGUCAGGGACGAAGGUGCGCAUGUUAACAGCAUGUGUGCUUGACGGUACCUGGAGAGGAAGCCCCGGCUAACUCUGUGCCAGCAGCCGCGGUAAUACAGAGGGGGCAAGCGUUAUUCGGAAUUAUUGGGCGUAAAGGGCGCGUAGGCGGUUUUUUAAGUCAGAUGUGUAAUCCCCGAGCUCA